This 306-nucleotide ribosomal RNA is filed under the name Staphylococcus aureus. Its description in RNAcentral is "partial 23S ribosomal RNA". It matches the Rfam family "Bacterial large subunit ribosomal RNA", at positions 2172 to 2477 of the family's 2925-position model. Lineage: Bacteria; Bacillati; Bacillota; Bacilli; Caryophanales; Staphylococcaceae. The record is from RNAcentral.
UAGCUUACGUGGAGGCGCUGGUGGGAUACUACCCUAGCUGUGUUGGCUUUCUAACCCGCACCACUUAUCGUGGUGGGAGACAGUGUCAGGCGGGCAGUUUGACUGGGGCGGUCGCCCCCUAAAAGGGAACGGAGGGGCGCAAAGGGUUCCUCAGAAUGGGUGGGAAUCAUUCAUAGAGGGGAAAGGCAUAAGGGAGCUUGACUGCGAGACCUACAAAUCGAGCAGGGUCGAAAGACGGACGUAGUGAUCCGGUGGUUCCGCAUGGAAGGGCCAUCGCUCAACGGAUAAAAGCUACCCCGGGGAUAA